Thalassophryne amazonica is the source of this 149-nucleotide long non-coding RNA. RefSeq lists it as uncharacterized. NCBI's taxonomy places the organism in Eukaryota, Metazoa, Chordata, Actinopteri, Batrachoidiformes, Batrachoididae. The record is from RefSeq and is a predicted model, not a curated record. The transcript is spliced from 4 exons.
GGCACCGCUCACGAUCUUAAGUCCUUUGCAGACAAAUCUUCAAACUGAGAAAAAGAAAGCCCACAACAUUUGUGACCUGUGUAGUUCCAGUAACAUCAGUUGGAUUUCUGUUACACUGUGGUUGAUCUGGAACAAUGUGGCCACUGCCU